This 97-nucleotide signal recognition particle RNA is filed under the name Conchiformibius kuhniae. RNAcentral's name for it is "Bacterial small signal recognition particle RNA". It matches the Rfam family "Bacterial small signal recognition particle RNA". Rfam says of the family: The signal recognition particle (SRP) is a universally conserved ribonucleoprotein involved in the co-translational targeting of proteins to membranes. Lineage: Bacteria; Pseudomonadati; Pseudomonadota; Betaproteobacteria; Neisseriales; Neisseriaceae. The record is from Rfam by way of RNAcentral.
AGCGGGUCUCUCCGCAUGAUGAUUUCAGGCAACGGGUCAGGGGCGGAAGCCAGCAGCCCACUUGGGAAAGUCAGUGCCGGAGGACGGGCUCGCUACC